GUCUACAGCCAUGCUACCCUGAACAGGCUGGAUCCCAUCUGAUCUUGGAAGCUAAACAGGGGGCCUGCUUAGUACUUAGUACUUAGUACUUGGAUAGGAGACCACCUAGGAAGACCAGGUGCUGUAGGUG
Molecule: ribosomal RNA, 130 nt
Organism: Pteropus vampyrus (large flying fox)
Lineage: Eukaryota; Metazoa; Chordata; Mammalia; Chiroptera; Pteropodidae
Source: Ensembl